RNAcentral lists this long non-coding RNA (207 nucleotides) under Gossypium raimondii (Peruvian cotton). Its description in RNAcentral is "long non-coding RNA (GRAI_LNC007766)". The record is from RNAcentral. Lineage: Eukaryota; Viridiplantae; Streptophyta; Magnoliopsida; Malvales; Malvaceae.
UCGGGUUAGAGUAUAGUAUUUGAUUUAAUUUCUGUUUUUUAAAUUAUAUAUAUUAAAUAAUAAGGAUUAGUAGUUAGUGGUUAGUGGUUAAUUGGGGUAAUUAGGGUUAUGAGUUUGGGAUUAGAGGUUUAGAGUUAGAGAUUUAGGGUUUAGAGAUUUGGGGUCGAGUUAGGGUUUAAGGUUUAGGGUAAUUAGUAUUUUUUAAUU